UUAAUUAAAACCAAAAUAGAGGUAAAUUAUUGUUAAUAAUUUUAUUGAAUUUUAUAUUCUAAUUAA
This 66-nucleotide transfer RNA is filed under the name Pheidole flaveria. Its description in RNAcentral is "tRNA-Asn". Lineage: Eukaryota; Metazoa; Arthropoda; Insecta; Hymenoptera; Formicidae. The record is from RNAcentral.